RNAcentral lists this long non-coding RNA (200 nucleotides) under Elaeis guineensis (African oil palm). Its description in RNAcentral is "long non-coding RNA (EGUI_LNC001921)". The record is from RNAcentral. Lineage: Eukaryota; Viridiplantae; Streptophyta; Magnoliopsida; Arecales; Arecaceae.
ACCUAGAGGGUCCCGAAGAAUUUAAAAUUUAUGGAUGAAAGUGGGUAUCUGUUGUCUAGAAGAUGUGUAUCAUUUCUGAGGCAUGCCUAGGCUAUUAGAGAAUAACGGCUUGUACAUUCUGAGUUUGUUAUGAUUGUGUAGUGGAGGAGCUGGCAAUUUAUCGUCUAGUAGAUAAAAAACUUCAGAAGUCCCUCUGUGCG